GAUGAACGCUAGCUACAGGCUUAACACAUGCAAGUCGAGGGGCAGCAUGGAAGAAGCUUGCUUCUUCUGAUGGCGACCGGCGCACGGGUGCGUAACGCGUAUCAAACCUGCCCCAUACUCGGGGAUAGCCUUGCGAAAGUAAGAUUAAUACCCGAUGUUGUUAUGUUACCGCAUGGUGACAUAACCAAAGAUUUAUCGGUAUGAGAUGGUGAUGCGUCCGAUUAGGUAGUAGGCGGGGUAACGGCCCACCUAGCCUUCGAUCGGUAGGGGUUCUGAGAGGAAGGUCCCCCACACUGGAACUGAGACACGGUCCAGACUCCUACGGGAGGCAGCAGUGAGGAAUAUUGGUCAAUGGACGAAAGUCUGAACCAGCCAAGUAGCGUGCAGGAUGACGGCCCUCUGGGUUGUAAACUGCUUUUAGUUGGGAAUAAAAAAGAGGACGUGUCCUCUAUUGUAUGACCUCAGAAAAAGG
Molecule: ribosomal RNA, 472 nt
Filed under: Alloprevotella sp. oral taxon 473
Lineage: Bacteria; Pseudomonadati; Bacteroidota; Bacteroidia; Bacteroidales; Prevotellaceae
Description: bacterial SSU rRNA
Rfam family: Bacterial small subunit ribosomal RNA
Source: RNAcentral